AUACGGAGGGUGCAAGCGUUACUCGGAAUCACUGGGCGUAAAGCGCGCGCAGGCGGUCUUUUAAGUUGGAUGUGAAAGCCUACGGCUCAACCGUAGAACUGCAUCCAAAACUAUUAGACUAGAGUGUGGGAGAGGAAGAUGGAAUUAGUUGUGUGGGGGUAAAAUCCGUAGAGAUAACUAGGAAUACCAAAAGCGAAGGCAAUCUUCUGGAACACUACUGACGCUGAGGCGCGAAAGCGUGGGGAGCAAACAGGAUUAGAAACCCUAGUAGUCC
This 274-nucleotide ribosomal RNA is filed under the name uncultured bacterium. Its description in RNAcentral is "partial 16S ribosomal RNA". It matches the Rfam family "Bacterial small subunit ribosomal RNA", at positions 523 to 796 of the family's 1533-position model. The record is from RNAcentral.